RNAcentral lists this ribosomal RNA (341 nucleotides) under Clogmia albipunctata (mothmidge). RNAcentral's name for it is "partial 16S ribosomal RNA". Lineage: Eukaryota; Metazoa; Arthropoda; Insecta; Diptera; Psychodidae. The record is from RNAcentral.
UUUUUUAAUUGAAAACUAGUAUGAAUGGUUCAACAAAGUAUUAACUGUCUUUAUAAAAUUUAAUUAGAACUUUAUUUUUUAAUUAAAAAGUUAAAAUUUUUUUAAAAGACGAGAAGACCCUAUAAAUCUUUAUAAAAUUUAUUAAAUUUUAUAUUUUAGAAUAAAUUUGAUAAUUUAAUAAAUUUUAUUUUAUUGGGGUGAUAAUAAAAUUUAAUAAACUUUUAUUUUUAGUGCCAUUAAUUUAUGAAUUUAUGAUCCAAAAAUUUUGAUUAUAAAAUUAAGUUACUUUAGGGAUAACAGCGUAAUAUUUUUAGAGAGUUCUUAUUGAUAAAAAUGAUUGC